UUGAUGACUCGUUCAUUAGUGUUUCGAAAGUCCCAGCAAGCCACAACGUCCAUUGUCCGUCUCAUCAGUAAUCAAACAGACUUCUUACGUCAUAGUUACAGACUUCCCAGCUACAAGUUACAACUUAGCACGGUGUCCUUACACGUGGAAUUGAAACCAUGGUUGAAACAAAAGAGUUAGAAACCAUCCUGUUAGAAACAUGUCAGGAUUCCAAAGUUCCAUAGUUACAAGAAAUAACAUAUAGAUUAUUGGAUUGUUUCUAAUGUGUUGGAUUUCAAAUAUCUGCUGAAGACAUAGUGCUACAAAGAAUUAUUUUUCUGUCAGCCAAUGUUCCCCAGCAUUGGUGCCAUUUCAAAUAGGAAAACCUACAACAAGAAGUCCAGUGUACAGUAACUGUUAAAGCUGCCUCCACCUCCAAUGGAAAACAGGAACUUCCUUAAGUGAUCAAUUUCAAGCAUCAUUCAAAAAUUUGCGAGUUCCAGUUUAUAUGUGAAUACAACACUGGUGGUUGCAGUUCCAUAUCAGGAGACGAGUUGAAUUCUGCACUGAAAACUGAGGAAUCAUCAACCAAUCGAAAGAACAAUCUGUGUCAUUACCUUCAUCUAGAUUCUAGAUGUUUCAGAGCCGAACUGGAUGCGCAAGAUCUUAUUAAACCGGAGUAGCAACUGACAAUAUGGUGGUGACGUCCGCCGAAAGAGGUUGGGGAAAAUGAAUAGUUAAUAACUCUCGUCCAGUGAUCCACCGGCUACUCACAUCUAGCGAUAACGAAAUUUCUGCUUCACUCAGGUCAGUUUUGAGACGAUCCUGCUCGCUGUAGGUCCCAACAGAAUUUGGAUACAAUCAUGGCUAUUUCUUUGCCCGGAAACUUGAAAAGUAUAAAACCAUACCUGGAAAUUGCCGAUGAUUACGAAUCCAAUGAUCCGUGUAUCAGUUACUGGUGCCGAUUAUAUGCUCUUAAGCAAGGAUUUAUCCUGGAGAGAGUAGAAGAGGAUCUUUCGUUUUUGCUUGUUUUAAUCGAUCUUUUGGAAAAGAACAAACAGGAUUUGCAGUCUAAAAUAGAGACCACUGAUAUUCCUGUUGCUCGAGCUCACCUUGAAGAUGCGACCCAGAAGCUGUUAAGCUGGGCAGAAAAUGUGCCGCCUUUGAGAUCAUUAACUAAUGUUGUAGCUGAGGUAUUUCAGUCUGCUGGAAUGCUGCAAGAUGUGUGCUCCGUAUUUGGAAAUCCAAGUGAAGGCCAAUUCGAGAGAAAGAAGUAUACCAACUUACAUGAAGAAAAUUGGCAUAGUGAACUCCAUUCGGCAUCGACUACAAAAAAAUCAAACAUUUACCACCAAUAUAGCAAGAAAUUAUCGGAAAACUUAGUUGAUGGAAUUUCCGAAGAACUUCAGAAUGAUGAGGCAAAGUCACCCAAAGUUGCGAAACAUUACGAACGGAAAAAGAUUUACGGACGCCUUUUCAUUUUACAACUGCUGAAUCAUCCAGUAUCACAGAAAAAGCCGGAAGGCCUGCCCAGUCUGGAAAUUGUUCGAAAUAAGAUGGGACGCAAUCAAAUAAUCGCCGAUAGACUAUUGGGUGUUCAUCAGCAGCAGUAUCAACUAAGAACCAACUUUAAUCCCAAGAAGAUCUGCCUGAUCUACAAGAUAGUUCGCAAAGAUCGUGAAGAGCAAAAGAUGGAGUUAAACAACCCACUAUCCCAGGAACCCUCUAGUCCCUUGGGUGGUCGUUCUCGUGGCGGUUCCAGUGACUAUCGCUGGAAUUCCGAUCAGAAUAGCAGUAGUAGAGGCGGCAGCAAAGAACGUUGGAUACCUAAGGCGUCUAGAGAUGCUGAUCAAAUAGGAGGUAAAGGCGUCACUUCUUGGCGUCGAGUAGCCUCAAGUGAUACGGCUCAAUCGUUGAUCGGUGGCGUUGGUGGUUGUAAACAAAAAAUGAACUCCGGUUUCUUUGGUUUACGUAGUCAACCGCCUUCUUGUGAAAACUCCGUUACUCGUCCCGUCUUUCGCGAAACGGCUCGACCAUCAACGCUAUCACGCGAAGAUGUUUUUUUUGGUAAAUCUACCGUGACAGACGAACAGAUUGAGCGAAAAUCUCGUUCGAUUCUAGGUGAAUAUUUCACGAAUGAGAAAAUUGAAGAUGCUGUUUUCAACAUGAAGGAAUGGCUGCAUCCAUCGACCAUAGCCAGAUUUAUCAACCAAUGCUUGCUGCACGUACUAAAACAUAAUAAACAAGAACGAAGAGCGACAGGCGCUUUGUUGAAGGAAAUGGUUAAAAGAAAACUGUUUAAUUCCUCUGACCUUGUGGAAGGAUUUACUGAACUCUUCCAAUCGGCUGAAGACUUCAUUGUGGACAUUCCCAAGUUGUGGGAAUAUUUGGCUGAGCUGGUUGAACCUCUGUUCGAAGAAGGCGUGAUGAAUUUGAAGUUUCUUUCGAAGUUAUCAUUGACCCUGAGUUCAUCUUUGGUUGUCAAUUUUGUAGCUGCAGUUCUGAAGGAAUUAGUCAGAGUACAGGGUGUGACUGGAGCUGAAAGAAUACUUAUCAUGUCGAAUGCACCAUUAACCAGUGUUCUACCAUCUUCUGUGGAUCUGAAUUCGUUCCUCGCCCAACAUACGGAACUCGAAUUCCUUUCCAAAAUUCAUUCUACACCAAGGGGCAGUGGCAGUGUUGGCAAUUCCAUCAGUAGUGCAACUCCCGCCAGUCAAGUUAACAUCGAAUUCCAGCACAGCCUAGAGAAAUACUUGAGAGACGCGACCCAAUUGACUACAGACAACAUCUGUAGCUGGAUUCAGAAACAAUAUGUUGGUGAAGUGAAUUCCGCUUUCGUUCGUGCCUUGGUCACCGCGGUAACGGAGAAUGCUAUUGAAGGAAGUGGUAAGGACAGUAAACUGAACAACACUGUCUUGAAAAAUCGGACGAAGGUGUUAAGGAGGUAUGUUGACAAUAUCGCUGAUCGUGAGCUUCAACUGCUUUUCGCAGUUCAGGCUUUAGUGACCCAACGACAACAUCCCAAAGGUUUAAUUCAAGGCAUCUUCGAGACUCUCUAUGACAGUAACGUCGUUUCUGAAGAGAGCUUUGAAUCGUGGGCGUGUACUGAUGAUCCUUUGGAACGUGAAGACAAAGCUGUGGCUCUCCAGAUGAUGAAAUCUUUUUUUACGUGGCUGAAGGAAGCUGACCCUGAAAGCGAUGAAGAUGAAUAUGCCUGACCUUAUUAAAAGCAUAUGGAGGAGCAAUUGUUUGAGUGCAUCAUGUGAGUGAAAAGGGGGGUUAGGCCAGACCCUGGAAACGUGUAACUGGGAAAGGGGACCUAGUGUUGGUAGAUUCCCCCCCCCCCUUAAAGAAUGGAUUUUUUUUGUAUGUGUGUAAGAAAAAUUGCAUGAUUUACGUACGCUGGAUAAGAAACAGAAACCAGUAAUUUCAUUGAUGUACUUUCGCUAAUUGAAAUGGACAAGUAAUUCCUUUGGAACGUUCCACUCCUUCUCUCUGGUUUUCUCCCACGUGAAAGACGCUCAGUUUACAAAUUCUGUGAACGUGGGGGUUUUGUUAUUAAAUAUAAAGAUUAGCGAAUUGAAAGUUUUCAAUCCAGCAGUGACCAACUUGUAUAAAGACAGUUCCAGUGUUCCAGCGUCAACGCACGAUAAAACGGAAGGCCCACCGCUCGACAUUGGGUUCAAGAAAACCUCACCAUAAUCCGGCUGUGGAAUUUCCUCAAAUCAAACAUCGCGUGCAUCUCUGAUUGUUUCACAGCGCUCUCUUGCUAUACUGCUGUCCGGGUGGAUAGGUUCUCCAGGAAAAAUGUGGAGCUGGAUUGCUACUCACGUGAAGGAUGAUGUGUGCUGUAGCUGGACGAUUUCUUCAAACAGACAGGUUCAUUUUACAGUCGAUCCUCAUCAACAUCUUCGGCUUCCUCAUCACUUCCAUGGACGAUAUUUUAACAGCUGUAGCCAACCGGGCAAUCAUACUCUGUCUAAAGUAAAACUGUAUUUGAGAGUCCAGUCGAGCCUCUUGGAGAAUUGAUUGAAACGGAAGGUCUCAAGGCCAAUCAAAUGAGAUUGCGUUAAUCGACCUAACUGCAACCAAGAAGCUUGAUUCGAUCGGGUUAACAUGUCAACAUAUCGCUUUAAUCUUUUUGAAUCGGAGGAUCGGAUCGAUCGGUGACUAAUCUAAUAAUUCGUGCUGGCGAGUGAGGAGCAAAUUUUAAAUUUACAAGUAAAACGGAAUCGCAUAGUAUUUAAGGGAAAACAGUUGUUGUUGUUCUUUUUCUUUUGUAUGAUUUGGUUUUUGGUUUGAGUUUUCGAGUAACAAGUAACAACCCGAUCAAUAACCAACGCUUCUACGCAGAAGACUCUUUCUCCGACGUCGACGAUAGAUUUAAAGGAAGACCGGAUUCGAUGGAUUAUGCCUACAACAACGGAAUGGCAGAUCCCAUGCAACAACAACUACAGGGCAUGAACGUACAACAACAACAACCGAAUUUCAACGGUGGAACGGGUGGACCCAUCCACAAUUUGCCCAUGAACAAGACGACGAGAGGCUUGCCGCCCGUCAUCCAACAGCAACAGCAGCAACAUCCCGGUCAACCUCCCCUCAACAACAUGAUGAUGAUGAACGCCGAUGCCAACAACCACCUUUACGGUCACGCCAACAACGUUGCCGCGCCCCAACAAGCGACGACAGCGCCAACUUCCGCACCCCUGUCUUCUCACUUUUCCUUUUUCGGGAUAAGCGGCAACAACCAGCAGCAACAACAGCAGCAGCAACAACAAUCAACAGGGCCCAGUAUCAUCCAGAAGAUGAUGGGCGGCGGUGGAGGCUCUGCCACCGCGGCCGCUCCGACGACGACGACGUCCGGCACGACGGAAAAUCCAGUCGAGGGCCUUUUAUUCAAAGGAAAAGAUUUGAUAUUCAAGAAAUUCGGCCUCUAAUGAAAACAUUUAGUAACAAUAACCUUUUUGCACAACAACAACAACCAACUCUGCCAUAAUAAUCGAUUCGAGCUGAAAUAAUCCCCUUCAAAAAUGAAACCAAAAAUGGAUAGCGCGAAAAACAAUUGAAUUUUGACGAGCCAAAUGGAUGAGGUCAAACACUUUUUUUUAAAUUGCAAAGUUUCCCCAAAAGUUUUGUGGAUGUAAGAUAUAAAAAUACGCACACACACCUCCUGUCUGUCUUGAAUCUUUCUCUUUAACUUUCUCGUGUACAGUUCUAGCAAAAAAAAAGGUUUUUUUGGGGGGGUUCCAAGUAAUUAAAAUUUGUUCAUUCAAAUUGAGGAAGAAAUUUAUGGAUAAAUUAAAUUUUGUUUUAAUUUUGUCCACCCAACAUUUUUUUGUGUGUCUGUGUGAGCCCUGUACAUACAUAAACUUCAACUAUAGACCUUAUUCCAAUGAAAAGGUAUGGGUCAAGCCGACCCCUUUGCGUCGCGUUGCAGUGUGAAGGGGUGCCGUGAACAGAAGAUUUUUAUUUGGCUCGCCCCACAGUACAUGGAUAUUAGGCUUGUCGGGUUAAUCGUGCCCGAGGGAAGAAUAGGGAGGAAAGGAAAGUCUAGUCUGGUCCCCUCUUUUUUUCAUUCUUUCCUUUUUAUUUUAUACCUUUUCAUUGGAAUAAGGUCUAUAUAGGAAUUGUCGCCUGGCGGGAAAUUUAAAAAUUUUUCAAUUAAUUUUGUUUUUUCAAAUUUUUUGGGGGAUUUUUCUUUGGCCGGCAGUAAUUUGCUUUUCCCCAUUAAAAAUUUUAAAUUCGUGUUAAAUUCAACAUCAAGCCUCCCCUUUAAAGAAAAAAGAACGGUCAUUCUCGACCGCCAUCUCUCUCUCUCUCUUUAUUAUUGCAUUAUUAUUACAAUAUUCGUUAUGGUUAUAAUCUAUAUCUUUACAUAUAAUUCUCCAUAUUAUGUGUAACUGUACAAAAGGCAUACAAAAAGGAAACAAAAAAACAAACAAAAUGGCAAAGCAAA
Molecule: unclassified non-coding RNA, 5935 nt
Filed under: Daphnia pulicaria
Lineage: Eukaryota; Metazoa; Arthropoda; Branchiopoda; Diplostraca; Daphniidae
Description: eukaryotic translation initiation factor 4 gamma 3- like, transcript variant X3
Source: RNAcentral